Molecule: ribosomal RNA, 433 nt
Filed under: uncultured bacterium
Lineage: Bacteria
Description: bacterial SSU rRNA
Rfam family: Bacterial small subunit ribosomal RNA
Source: RNAcentral
AGCCAGCAGCCGCGGUAAUACGGAGGGUGCGAGCGUUGUCCGGAAUCACUGGGCGUAAAGGGCGCGUAGGCGGCCGAGCAAGGUCGCGGUGAAAGCCCGGGGCUCAACCCCGGGUCGGCCGUGGCAACUACUCGGCUCGAGCACUGUAGGGGCGGGUGGAAUUCCGGGUGUAGCGGUGGAAUGCGUAGAGAUCCGGAAGAACACCGGUGGCGAAGGCGGCCCGCUGGGCAGGAAGGCUCGCAAGAGCCGGCUGACGCUGAGGCGCGACAGCGUGGGGAGCAAACAGGAUUAGAUACCCUGGUAGUCCACGCCGUAAACGAUGGGCACUAGGUGCUUGGGGGAGCGACCCUCCGAGUGCCGGCGCUAACGCAUUAAGUGCCCCGCCUGGGGAGUACGGCCGCAAGGCUGAAACUCAAAGGAAUUGGCGGGGGAU